Molecule: ribosomal RNA, 468 nt
Filed under: uncultured bacterium
Lineage: Bacteria
Description: partial 16S ribosomal RNA
Rfam family: Bacterial small subunit ribosomal RNA
Source: RNAcentral
GACGAACGCUGGCGGCGUGCUUUACACAUGCAAGUCGAACGGAAAGGCCCUGCUUUUGUGGGGUGCUCGAGUGGCGAACGGGUGAGUAACACGUGAGUAACCUGCCCUUGACUUUGGGAUAACUUCAGGAAACUGGGGCUAAUACCGGAUAGGAGCUCCUGCUGCAUGGUGGGGGUUGGAAAGUUUCGGCGGUUGGGGAUGGACUCGCGGCUUAUCAGCUUGUUGGUGGGGUAGUGGCUUACCAAGGCUUUGAAGGGUAGCCGGCCUGAGAGGGUGACCGGCCACAUUGGGACUGAGAUACGGCCCAGACUCCUACGGGAGGCAGCAGUGGGGAAUAUUGCACAAUGGGCGGAAGCCUGAUGCAGCAACGCCGCGUGCGGGAUGACGGCCUUCGGGUUGUAAACCGCUUUCGCCUGUGACGAAGCGUGAGUGACGGUAAUGGGUAAAGAAGCACCGGCUAACUACGUG